UCCCUGGUGGCUCAGAGGUUAAAUAAAGCGUCUGCCUCCAAUGCGGGAGACCCAGGUUCGAUCCCUGGGUCGGGAA
Transfer RNA from Ovis aries (sheep), 76 nucleotides. It matches the Rfam family "tRNA". Rfam says of the family: Transfer RNA (tRNA) molecules are approximately 80 nucleotides in length. Their secondary structure includes four short double-helical elements and three loops (D, anti-codon, and T loops). Lineage: Eukaryota; Metazoa; Chordata; Mammalia; Artiodactyla; Bovidae. The record is from Rfam.